GUCCACGCCGUAAACGAUGAUAACUAGCUGUCCGGGCUCAUAGAGCUUGGGUGGCGCAGCUAACGCAUUAAGUUAUCCGCCUGGGGAGUACGGUCGCAAGAUUAAAACUCAAAGGAAUUGACGGGGGCCUGCACAAGCGGUGGAGCAUGUGGUUUAAUUCGAAGCAACGCGCAGAACCUUACCAGCCUUUGACAUCCUAGGACGGUUUCUGGAGACAGAUUCCUUCCCUUCGGGGACCUAGUGACAGGUGCUGCAUGGCU
This 260-nucleotide ribosomal RNA is filed under the name uncultured bacterium. Its description in RNAcentral is "partial 16S ribosomal RNA". It matches the Rfam family "Bacterial small subunit ribosomal RNA", at positions 793 to 1050 of the family's 1533-position model. The record is from RNAcentral.